UACAUUAUGGUGUAGGGCACGUAAAUUUUUGGAUUUUAAGGUGAAGGCUCAUAACCUUCUUUUGUAA
This 67-nucleotide transfer RNA is filed under the name Ancistrocheirus sp. 2 FFA-2023. Its description in RNAcentral is "tRNA-Gln". It matches the Rfam family "tRNA". From Rfam's summary of the family: Transfer RNA (tRNA) molecules are approximately 80 nucleotides in length. The record is from RNAcentral. Lineage: Eukaryota; Metazoa; Mollusca; Cephalopoda; Oegopsida; Ancistrocheiridae.